RNAcentral lists this long non-coding RNA (3650 nucleotides) under Daphnia magna. Its description in RNAcentral is "doublesex1 alpha promoter-associated long RNA". The record is from RNAcentral. Lineage: Eukaryota; Metazoa; Arthropoda; Branchiopoda; Diplostraca; Daphniidae.
AAGCUUUCUGCACCAGUGAUUUUGAAAAAAAAAUAAUAAGUUCAAUUGGUCAACCUCAUCAUUGUAUUCUCUCUGCAAAUUGACCAGCCGAAUUGGUUCGCUUUUUUUUUUUCAUUUGGUUGCCAUCGGAGCUUAUGUUACCGGGGUGGUAGUGGUAGUAGUAGUAGAAGCCAAAACAGCAGCGAGAUCCUUGUUAUGUAUUUGCGUGACUACUAGUCUCUCCACGUGUCACGCGAAACGGCGUAUAGGGGAGCCCUCCCGAACAACAACACAAACCGAUGUGCCAUUUCGCCUAUUGGUCGCCGGAUGAACCAAUGGCGAAAUUUGAUUCCUUUUUUUUUUUUUUUUUUUUCUUUUCUUUUCAUGUUCGCUCUUUUGAUUUUUUAUACUACGGUAUUACGCACGAACCGCUCAGCUAGCGUCUUUAUUUAUUAUUAUUUAUUUUAUAUGUAUAUAUAUUUUUUUUUACUUUGAAGGGUUAAAUAAUAAUAAAAUGUGUAAUGGUUAAGAAAGUUUACCGGAUAUUAUUAUUAUUAUCAUUGGAAUAUAGUGCGUUUAUUUUUCUAUAGCCUCGAGCCAUGCAAAUAUAUAUUUUUUUUUAGGGGAAUGCGGUCGAAUAGCUCGAGGGAUUCGAAGCGUGACCCGUGUGUGUGUGUGUGUGUGCCUUCACUUGAAAUUCCGUUCGGGUAUCUUUUUUUGUUUUUUGGUCGGAGACGGUGAUAAAUGUUGUAUCAAUCGUUCUUUUUCUUUGUUUUGCUAGCAGCGUGUGGUUGCGGGAGAUGAAAUAAUCAAUUGCAUCCGACUUUGUUUGACUUGUGGACAACUAUCUACUUUCUAACGAAGAGUGUGUGUGUGUGUGUGUGGUCUAACCGGGCUAGUGUAUUGACAGAUGGGUAACUUGAGACCGCAAAAAAAAAAAAAAAAAAACUAUAUACGGUCAUAACUGGCAACCUUGUGUAUUUCGCGUGUGCAAACACACAUACUGUACUGAUUUUAUUGAUGGCUUCAACUCUUAUUUUGCAUAUGCGAAAGGGAAAAACACACACACACACAGGGGAAAAAGUAAGGUGCAUUUUGAGUGAUUCCGUCAUUGUUUCACACCGUUGCGUGAUUGUUUUCUGGGCGUCUAUCCAAAAACUAUUUCGUUAUUGCCCUUAACCUUUCAGAUCUUUGCAACAUUCUAUCCUUUUCUUAUUUCUUUCUUUAGACAACGGACGGACAAUUGUAUUUUUGCGAUAUAAUUUGUGUUUUUGCUGAAAUGGGACAUCGUGGCGACAGUAUCAAAAAUUGGAACAGGCUAUCUCGAAAAUGGUACACAUUGACUAUUUCGGUCCCACCUACACGCCCUCUCUAGAGAGAUACUUUCGAUCUAUUUCGAUCUUUCGGCAUUGUCGGGUGUCCCUUUUUUUUUUUUGCCACAAUCUCUUGUCAUAAAUCUCACACCGAUGUUAAAGAAACAGAUUCAGCGUCUUCUUCUUCUAUUUGGGUAGAAGAAGCUUUCCCAUCCAUAUCGACCGCCACGCGACUAUAUAUAAAGCCACUGCCGAGCUAUUGUUGUGAUGCUAACCUUGUCCCUUCAAGGCAAUAAGACGCGGUCAGAUUGAUGGGAGGUUUUUUUUUUUUUCCUUUCUCUCAGAUCGCGCAUUCUAUAGACAUUAUCCCACGUGUCCGCUAGGCUAGAGUCACUCGCAAAUUUCUUUUUUUUUUUUUUUUUUGCAUUUUAUUUUCCCGUUUUUGUUGUCUUUUUGGCGAAAAUCUUCCCCUCGAGCUUUUUUGGAUGGUUGCCAACCGUGUUGGCCUUCAGGGUUUUAUAGGACCCUAGCAACAGCGUUGAGGGCCGCAGCUCAUUGCUUUGUGUACCCAAUCCGAAUGGCUGCCGCCCUUCUUUUUUGGCCAUACUUUGUUACCACCACUGCACUAUUCGCUUCUUUUUGUUUUCCAAGUGUAUACAACAGUAAACAACCCGCAUUUCAUUUUUGUUUUUGUUUUAUUGUCUUGUGCAUUCAGUAGAAUUCAUCAUCUUUCUAGGUAGUGUUCUACAGUGUAGUUAGUCUAGUUUCCGUACGACUUUGAUAUCCCUAUUUUCUCUUUUUCUGCCCCCCCGAACUGACAUUGUUCUUCUUUUUUAUUAUUGUUCGCCCAAAAUGGCUGAUGUAUGCAACGCAGUCGGGGGCAGUUUAAAAAAUAAAAGGGGGGCAUUUUGUUUCGCAGCGGAAAUGGUCGUGAUCUUUUUUAAGCCGACCUUAAUCGUUCCAUCUUCUGCUCGACAAAGCAGUUGACGGAUUUUUUUCAUUAACUACGACAGAGGCAACGCGUUCACGUCAAACUCGCUUCGUCAUUUAGUUACGCACGUGAAAUGAAUCGAUUUUUCGUUUAGUCCCUUUUGUAAAGCAAUUUGGUGAUUAAAGGGAGAGAAAAAAAAGGGGGGAUACUCAUCGACACAACAACGGUGGUACGGACCUCAUGGGUUAUUAACACGAGCGAAAGAGAAAAAGUAGAUAGGGAAACCUUACGACUGCUUCGGUAAAAAUUAUUGUGAUUUCAAAAAUCUUGGCCGACACCUAGAAAAGUUAUAGGCUUUUAGGCUUUAUUCAAUUGUGUGUGUGUGUGUAGAAGGCCCACGCACUGCAGGGUCACGGUGUUCGUUGUAGAGGUAGAUCGGGGUUGUGCGUGAAUAUUUAUAGACACGUGCGUUGAAGAGAUAUGAAAUGAUUGCGAGUGUAGACUACACAAAUGUAUCAGCUGGGAAAGGGUAAUCUUUUUGUAACUUGAUCAAAUGUUUGUUUAACCUUUGAGAAAUCUUCUCCCAGUUUUGGCCGCGUAGAUUCUAAAAUCUUGUCGGACGUAAUUUGUGUUGUUUCCAACCAAAAAAAAAAAAAUUGUAUUCGAAGCUUUGGCUGACAUACUUUGUGAUUAACAUUAUUGGCCUCUGUCGCGAUCCAUCACAUUUAAGCUGGCAGACUUGGUGAACUUGUGGGGUGUAAUUAUACACACACUCAUAUGUAUGUAUAUAUAUAUAUAUAUACACAUAUCGAGAUUUGGAGAAACUAUUUUCGUUUGGUGCGCAGAAUUUGUGUGUGUAUGCUGCUACUACACUUACUACUACCCUUCCGGUUCAGAUGAACAAGGGGGCGCAAAUCGGUAGGGGCAUACUUUAGUCAGAGCCAAAAUAAAAGCAGCUUUUUUCUGGCUCCCAAGUCGAAGGGGGUAAAACGAUCCGACUGCUGUGUUUGGUGUCCUUGCCAUUGCCAUACCACCAACAGUGCAUGAUCCCCGCGCGAAGGGAAAGCUUCGUACCGAAAAAUCGUAGAACCACUGUUUAGUUCCCUUUUGGUGCCUUACUGAGUAAGUUGGCUCGUUCUCGAUCUCGAUUUUUUGACUCUUCGUGCUUUUGUCGCACAGUUAUUUCCCCUUCGUUUUCGUGUGUGUGUGUGUGUGUGUUGACGUUUUCAUUUCCAAUAUAUAGGUAAUUCGAUACAUUUAUACCGUGUGGGUUUUGUUUUUUUAUAAUUUAGUUUUGGCUAUGUGUGUUUGACAAAUUCUUGUUGUGAGGAACGAAAAGAAAAAUAGUUGUUAAAGAAUUUCGGUGACGUGCGUUGAAGAGCCCAUGCCUACGCAACCAAAGUGGCGCUUACAUCACGAUCGGUUAC